AUGAAAAUGCCGCAGCCACCAGAGUUGGACCCGACCGUGACCCAGGAGCAAGCAGGCUACGCCGGCUCUGCCGUCCUGAGCAUGCACACCCACAUCACGCACAACAUGGAGCAUGCGCGCAUGCAGCUGUGCGUGCAAACUCGCACACACACACAUACACACACACACACACACACACACACACACACCCCACACGAACGCAGCAGCAUCACUCCAGCCGCAAACAUGUCCGCGACAAACCGCAAGGGGCUACAGGGCGACAACAAAGGGAGCGAGAGAAGGAGGCAGGUGUCGUGCGACCGAGGAGCGAAAACCGACGGCGACCUCGACAUGAACCAGCGGAAGGCGCCUCGCACAUAUCCACCAUAG
This 369-nucleotide ribosomal RNA is filed under the name Triticum aestivum (bread wheat). RNAcentral's name for it is "partial small subunit ribosomal RNA". The record is from RNAcentral. Lineage: Eukaryota; Viridiplantae; Streptophyta; Magnoliopsida; Poales; Poaceae.